This 439-nucleotide long non-coding RNA is filed under the name Apteryx owenii (little spotted kiwi). RNAcentral's name for it is "lncRNA (ENSAOWG00000007241.1)". The record is from RNAcentral. Lineage: Eukaryota; Metazoa; Chordata; Aves; Apterygiformes; Apterygidae.
UUCAAAGGACUCCUUUUCCUUUGGAUAUUUUUCUUUGCUGAAGUGCUUCGUGACGCAACACUACAUGAGAGAUGCCUUCAGCCCCCGUCUCUUUUGCUGCUUGCCUGCUGUGUUGGGUGCGACGCGGAGAACCUCGCUGAGUCGCAGGAGUGCCACAGUUAUAUGACCAAGGAAGAAAAAACAAUUCAGACAACCAGUCACUCUACAGAACAUUGCAUAGGAGAUGAGUGGAUCAGACAGACUGGUUAGACGGUAGAAGAUGCUCCUGCACUCUCAUCUCUCCACUGCCCAGCCUUCAACUGGAUCACUAGGUCAAAAACCUCCAUAAUCUUGGUGCAUGUAGAUACCUCAGCUGAGAGUCUGGUGUAAGGAGACCUGGAUGUGCGAAGAGUUUGCGACACCGCAUGCAUGGCUUUACACAGGCUUCCUGCACCUUCUG